GACACUAUUCACGAAUACGACACUAUUCAUCAAAAAUUGAAAAUUUUUCUUUUCGUCCAAAAUAUCUAUUCUGGAUACUAGUUUUGAUUGUAUCCAUGUUUUGAUCAUUCUUGAAUUUUACACCACUAUGAUGAUUUUUGAAGUAUUUUUGGACAUGAAUAAAACAAAGUACGAAUCCUUAAUCCUUAAUCCUUGUCAUUUUGUUUCACUGGAUUCGUUUCUUUAAAAAUAUUUUUCAUCAUCC
RNAcentral lists this long non-coding RNA (244 nucleotides) under Panax ginseng (ginseng). Its description in RNAcentral is "long non-coding RNA (PGIN_LNC012387)". Lineage: Eukaryota; Viridiplantae; Streptophyta; Magnoliopsida; Apiales; Araliaceae. The record is from RNAcentral.